Molecule: ribosomal RNA, 253 nt
Filed under: uncultured bacterium
Lineage: Bacteria
Description: partial 16S ribosomal RNA
Rfam family: Bacterial small subunit ribosomal RNA
Source: RNAcentral
UACGUAGGGUGCAAGCGUUAAUCGGAAUUACUGGGCGUAAAGCGUGCGCAGGCGGUCGUGCAAGACAGAUGUGAAAUCCCCGGGCUUAACCUGGGAACUGCAUUUGUGACUGCACGGCUGGAGUGCGGCAGAGGGGGAUGGAGUUCCGCGUGUAGCAGUGAAAUGCGUAGAUAUGCGGAGGAACACCGAUGGCGAAGGCAAUCCCCUGGGCCUGCACUGACGCUCAUGCACGAAAGCGUGGGGAGCAAACAGG